Molecule: non-coding RNA, 249 nt
Organism: Maylandia zebra (zebra mbuna)
Lineage: Eukaryota; Metazoa; Chordata; Actinopteri; Cichliformes; Cichlidae
Source: RefSeq, a predicted model, not a curated record
UCCUGCGGGUGGGCGUGUCCUCUGACGUCACAUGAACCUGAACCGUAGAAACUUCAAUCCUGCAGCUCUGAACCUGCGUGACAGCGUCUUCAUCCAGGUUCUUAAACCCGACAGUUUGUCUCCAGAUGAGUUAAUAAAUAUCUGCUCAUCUCGUCUGUUUCCAGCAGAGCGGCAAAAUGGCAACUGCAGAAACAGGAAACCUUCAACCCCUCAGACACAGCAGCAGCAAUCCCAACAUAAAACCUUCCA